Molecule: ribosomal RNA, 280 nt
Filed under: uncultured Streptococcus sp.
Lineage: Bacteria; Bacillati; Bacillota; Bacilli; Lactobacillales; Streptococcaceae
Description: partial 16S ribosomal RNA
Rfam family: Bacterial small subunit ribosomal RNA
Source: RNAcentral
GACGAACGCUGGCGGCGUGCCUAAUACAUGCAAGUAGAACGCUGAAGGAGGAGGCUUGCUCUUCUGGAUGAGUUGCGAACGGGUGAGUAACGCGUAGGUAACCUGCCUGGUAGCGGGGGAUAACUAUUGGAAACGAUAGCUAAUACCGCAUAACAGUAGAUGUUGCAUGACAUUUGCUUAAAAGGUGCAAUUGCAUCACUACCAGAUGGACCUGCGUUGUAUUAGCUAGAUGGGGGGGUAAGGGGUCUCAUAGGUGACGAGGCUCUGACAAAAUGAUCCU